Molecule: ribosomal RNA, 440 nt
Filed under: uncultured bacterium
Lineage: Bacteria
Description: partial 16S ribosomal RNA
Rfam family: Bacterial small subunit ribosomal RNA
Source: RNAcentral
CCUACGGGGGGCAGCAGUGGGGAAUAUUGCACAAUGGGGGAAACCCUGAUGCAGCGACGCCGCGUGAAGGAAGAAGUAUUUCGGUAUGUAAACUUCUAUCAGCAGGGAAGAAAAUGACGGUACCUGACUAAGAAGCCCCGUCUAACUACGGGCCAGCAGCCUCGGGAAUACGUAGGGGGCAAGCGUUAUCCGGAUGUACUGGGUGUAAAGGGAGCGUAGGCGGUUUAGCAAGUCAGAAGUGAAAGCCCGGGGCUCAACUCCGGGCGUGCUUUUGAAACUGUUGAACUAGAGUGCAGGAGAGGUAAGUGGAAUUCCGAGUGUAGCGGUGAAAUGCGUAGAUAUUAGGAGGAACACCAGUGGCGAAGGCGGCUUACUGGACUGAAAAUGACGCUGAGGCUCGAAAGCGUGGGGAGCAAACAGGAUUAGAUACCCUUGUAGUC